GAUGAACGCUGGUGGCGUGCCUAAUACAUGCAAGUCGAGCGAACAGACGAGGAGCUUGCUCCUCUGACGUUAGCGGCGGACGGGUGAGUAACACGUGGAUAACCUACCUAUAAGACUGGGAUAACUUCGGGAAACCGGAGCUAAUACCGGAUAAUAUAUUGAACCGCAUGGUUCAAUAGUGAAAGACGGUUUUGCUGUCACUUAUAGAUGGAUCCGCGCCGCAUUAGCUAGUUGGUAAGGUAACAGCUUACCAAGGCAACGAUGCGUAGCCGACCUGAGAGGGUGAUCGGCCACACUGGAACUGAGACACGGUCCAGACUCCUACGGGAGGCAGCAGUAGGGAAUCUUCCGCAAUGGGCGAAAGCCUGACGGAGCAACGCCGCGUGAGUGAUGAAGGUCUUCGGAUCGUAAAACUCUGUUAUUAGGGAAGAACAAAUGUGUAAGUAACUAUGCACGUCUUGACGGUACCUAAUCAGAAAGCCACGGCUAACUACGUG
Molecule: ribosomal RNA, 497 nt
Filed under: uncultured bacterium
Lineage: Bacteria
Description: partial 16S ribosomal RNA
Rfam family: Bacterial small subunit ribosomal RNA
Source: RNAcentral